This 502-nucleotide ribosomal RNA is filed under the name uncultured Glomeromycotina. Its description in RNAcentral is "partial small subunit ribosomal RNA". It matches the Rfam family "Eukaryotic small subunit ribosomal RNA", at positions 591 to 1092 of the family's 1831-position model. The record is from RNAcentral. Lineage: Eukaryota; Fungi; Glomeromycota.
CCAAUAGCGUAUAUUAAAGUUGUUGCAGUUAAAAAGCUCGUAGUUGAAUUUCGGAAUCUGUCCGUCGGUCGGGCUUCACUGUCCGUACUGGUGUGGUGGGUUCUUACCUUCUGAAUAACCAGCAUGCCAUUCAUUUGGUGCGCUGGGGAAGCAGGACUAUUACCUUGAAAAAAUUAGAGUGCUCAAAGCAGGCUAGUGCCUGAAUACAUUAGCAUGGAAUAAUAAAAUAGGACGGCAUGGUUCUAUUUUGUUGGUUUCUAGGAUCACCGUAAUGAUUAAUAGGGAUAGUUGGGGGCAUUAGUAUUCAAUUGUCAGAGGUGAAAUUCUUGGAUUUAUUGAAGACUAACUUCUGCGAAAGCAUUUGCCAAGGAUGUUUUCAUUAAUCAAGAACGAAAGUUAGGGGAUCGAAGACGAUCAGAUACCGUCGUAGUCUUAACCAUAAACUAUGCCGACUAGGGAUCGGACGAUGUUAAUUUUUUAAUGACUCGUUCGGCGCCUUACG